GUGGGGAAUAUUGGACAAUGGGCGCAAGCCUGAUCCAGCCAUACCGCGUGGGUGAAGAAGGCCUUCGGGUUGUAAAGCCCUUUUGUUGGGAAAGAAAUCCUGUCGGUUAAUACCUGGCGGGGAUGACGGUACCCAAAGAAUAAGCACCGGCUAACUUCGUGCCAGCAGCCGCGGUAAUACGAAGGGUGCAAGCGUUACUCGGAAUUACUGGGCGUAAAGCGUGCGUAGGUGGUGGUUUAAGUCCGUUGUGAAAGCCCUGGGCUCAACCUGGGAAUUGCAGUGGAUACUGGAUCACUAGAGUGUGGUAGAGGGAUGCGGAAUUUCUGGUGUAGCAGUGAAAUGCGUAGAGAUCAGAAGGAACAUCCGUGGCGAAGGCGGUAUCCUGGGCCAACACUGACACUGAGGCACGAAAGCGUGGGGAGCAAACAGGAUUAGAAACCCCGGUAGUCC
This 450-nucleotide ribosomal RNA is filed under the name uncultured bacterium. Its description in RNAcentral is "partial 16S ribosomal RNA". It matches the Rfam family "Bacterial small subunit ribosomal RNA", at positions 354 to 796 of the family's 1533-position model. The record is from RNAcentral.